UACGUAGGGGGCUAGCGUUGUCCGGAAUCAUUGGGCGUAAAGCGCGUGUAGGCGGUCCGGUAAGUCCGCUGUGAAAGUCGGGGGCUCAACCCUCGAAUGCCGGUGGAUACUGUCGGGCUAGAGUACGGAAGAGGCGAGUGGAAUUCCUGGUGUAGCGGUGAAAUGCGCAGAUAUCAGGAGGAACACCAAUUGCGAAGGCAGCUCUCUGGGACGGUACUGACGCUGAGACGCGAAAGCGUGGGGAGCGAACAGG
This 253-nucleotide ribosomal RNA is filed under the name uncultured bacterium. Its description in RNAcentral is "partial 16S ribosomal RNA". It matches the Rfam family "Bacterial small subunit ribosomal RNA", at positions 524 to 776 of the family's 1533-position model. The record is from RNAcentral.